GACAGCAGUCGCCGGCGGGAAUACGUAGGGUGCAAGCGUUAAUCGGAAUUACUGGGCGUAAAGCGUGCGCAGGCGGUUAUAUAAGACAGAUGUGAAAUCCCCGGGCUCAACCUGGGAACUGCAUUUGUGACUGUAUAGCUAGAGUACGGCAGAGGGGGAUGGAAUUCCGCGUGUAGCAGUGAAAUGCGUAGAUAUGCGGAGGAACACCGAUGGCGAAGGCAAUCCCCUGGGCCUGUACUGACGCUCAUGCACGAAAGCGUGGGGAGCAAACAGGAUUAGAUACCCCAGUAGUCCCUGUCUCUUAUA
This 306-nucleotide ribosomal RNA is filed under the name uncultured bacterium. RNAcentral describes it as "partial 16S ribosomal RNA". It matches the Rfam family "Bacterial small subunit ribosomal RNA", at positions 507 to 808 of the family's 1533-position model. The record is from RNAcentral.